GUCCACGCCGUAAACGAUGAUCACUCGCUGUGUGCGAUAAACAGUACGCGGCCAAGCGAAAGCGAUAAGUGAUCCACCUGGGGAGUACGCCCGCAAGGGUGAAACUCAAAGGAAUUGACGGGGACCCGCACAAGUGGUGGAGCAUGUGGUUUAAUUCGAUGCAACGCGAUGAACCUUACCAAGACUUGAAAUCCUCCGCAAAGCUAUAGAGAUAUAGUAGAGGUUAUCGGAGUGACAGGUGGUGCAUGGUUGUCGUCAGCUCGUGUCGUGAGAUGUUGGGUUAAGUCCCGCAACGAGCGCAACCCUUAUCUUUAGUUGCUAACAUUUAGUUGAGGACUCUAAAGAGACUGCCUACGCAAGUAGGAGGAAGGUGGGGAUGACGUCAAAUCAUCAUGCCCCUUAUGUCUUGGGCUACACACGUGCUACAAUGGCCGGUACAAAGGGCUGCAAACUGGUGACAGUAAGC
This 466-nucleotide ribosomal RNA is filed under the name Candidatus Lumbricincola sp. Cm-5. RNAcentral's name for it is "bacterial SSU rRNA". It matches the Rfam family "Bacterial small subunit ribosomal RNA", at positions 793 to 1268 of the family's 1533-position model. The record is from RNAcentral. Lineage: Bacteria; Bacillati; Mycoplasmatota; Mollicutes; Candidatus Lumbricoplasmataceae.